Molecule: ribosomal RNA, 434 nt
Filed under: uncultured bacterium
Lineage: Bacteria
Description: partial 16S ribosomal RNA
Rfam family: Bacterial small subunit ribosomal RNA
Source: RNAcentral
AGCGAACGCUGGCGGCAGGCCUAACACAUGCAAGUCGAACGAACCUUUCGGGGUUAGUGGCGGACGGGUGAGUAACACGUGGGAACGUGCCUUUAGGUUCGGAAUAACUCAGGGAAACUUGUGCUAAUACCGAAUGUGCCCUUCGGGGGAAAGAUUUAUCGCCUUUAGAGCGGCCCGCGUCUGAUUAGCUAGUUGGUUGAGGUAAUGGCUCACUAAGGCGACGAUCAGUAGCUGGUCUGAGAGGAUGAUCAGCCAUAUUGGGACUGAGACACGGCCCAAACUCCUACGGGAGGCAGCAGUGGGGAAUCUUGCGCAAUGGGCGAAAGCCUGACGCAGCCAUGCCGCGUGAAUGAUGAAGGUCUUAGGAUUGUAAAAUUCUUUCACCGGGGACGAUAAUGACGGUACCCGGAGAAGAAGCCCCGGCUAACUUCGUG